CGUAGGCAAAAGUGUUUUGUUAACGGUCAGUUUUCUGGUAUCUCUUCUACAUCCAGAGGAGUUCCUCAGGGUUCAAUAAUCGGGCCUCUGCUAUUCUUGGUCUAUAUCAAUGAUCUCCCAAACUGCCUGAAUGAGGGUUUCGCAAGGAUGUUUGCUGACGAUACCAACCUAAAUUUUAGUAGUGAUAAUUUAUCUCACCUUGAAUUUCUGAUGAAUUCUAG
This is a non-coding RNA of Paramuricea clavata, 221 nucleotides long. NCBI's taxonomy places the organism in Eukaryota, Metazoa, Cnidaria, Anthozoa, Malacalcyonacea, Plexauridae. The record is from the annotation of a GenBank genome assembly.